CUUUUGAGGUGCAUCAAGCCAA
RNAcentral lists this non-coding RNA (22 nucleotides) under Rattus norvegicus (Norway rat). Lineage: Eukaryota; Metazoa; Chordata; Mammalia; Rodentia; Muridae. The record is from RNAcentral.